GUCAAUCACCACAACUGGAUGCCAUUAUCCCUUGUCUUUUCAUUUCAAUUCACCGUUCCAGCUUUUAUGAUACCAGUUCCCAAAACUUAUCUUUUACUUCUGCUAUCAAUUUCUUUGAAAACCUCUCUUGUCACUUUCACCUUCGUCUCUUCGGCUCUCAACCUGGUUGCCUUAAUCUCCGAUUUUCUUCCUCGCGAUGAGUAUGGCUUGGUUCCUCCCCUUGCAGCUAAUAUCCUACUCCCCUCUUCAAAGCUUCUUUGGCAAGGAAAUGAGCAUAACCAUUUUCUGAUCUAGGGAUAAUAUGAAACUCGAUAUUUUGAAAAUAUGCCUUUUUGCUCUGAAUGUCUCUGAUGAGCGCUCCUAUAAUUGAUUUGUCUGGAUCUUUUGUUUGGCAUUUCUUUAUCACUGUUUUUGAAUCCCCCACUAUUUGUAAACUGUUCAAACCCAUGGAAAUGGCUAACUGCAUCACUUAUAACCCUGCAUGUGCUUCCGUUGCGAACGGUGUCGGUAUAUCGGAGUGGAUAACCGUUUUGGAUACCAAGAUUUCACCCCUCUCAUCACGUACUGCCAGACCCGAAGCUGAUCUGGAGGAUAUCUUUUCAAAAGCCGCAUAAAAAAAGACAGUGACCCUUGUGCUUCUUGUUGUAUGUUCAUGACCUUUAACAACAUUUAAAGUAAGUUUUUUUUCUGUUCUACUCCAUUCAACUCUGAAAUGUAGGUCCUGACUUGAUUCGAGAUAUCUCUGCCUGUAGAGUUCUUUCUUUCAAAAACUAACUGAUUUUUGGAUGUCCGGAUUGACCAUAGUCCGAAACAUAAUAGUCGACAUUGCUCAAUAUUUCCUCGUCUAUAAACCCAGGUGAGCCACUCCCAUAUACUGUUAAGGUCAUUAUUACAUACCUAGACAAGAUUUAAAUUUGACCACACAUCUAUUACUGUAGGACAGUAUCGAAAGAUAUGAUUGAUGUCUUUCUCAGGGGUGUGACAUCUGGGACAGAUAGCUGCUGUACCACUUUUUUAUUCUUGAGAUUUGAUAGAGUAGGAAUAUAGUUCCAUGAAAUUCUCCAAUUUGUAAUUUUAAUUUUUUGGAGGGAGAUGUAAAUUCCAUAAUUUCCUGUAGAAAUUUCUAGUCUCGGUCUGUAAAUAAUUAUUAUUAGGAUCCAAAUUAGCCUCCUGUAAUAGUUUAUAGGCACUCCUGACUGAGAAUUCUCCUGAUGAUUCCCCUCGCCAUACUUGGAAGUUCUCAUAAGCUAUCUCUGCCAGUGGGAUCUGCAGUAUUUUCCUUGCAACAUCCGUAUUGAAGGAACUAAUGACUAAAUCUUUUUUCCAAGUUCUGCUAGCUAGAUCAAUCAAAUCUGAUACUGUCUUAAUAUUUUCAUUACUAGUCUCAUUUUGUAAUCUGUCUAUUUCAGCUCCCGAUAUCCAUAAGUCUCCCCAAAUGAAAAUACAAUCCCCCGUGCCAACCCUCCAACAUAGUCCUUUCUCCAAGAUUCCUUUAGCUGCCCAGACACUCUUCCAGGAAGACCAAGGUAUCUUUACGGAUUAUUUGAACUUCGUACUCCAAGAAUCCUGGAAAUUGUUGUUUUGUCCCUCUCUUGUGUAUUAGAACUAAAUAAAAUUGUAGAUUUUCCAUAGUUGACGCAUUGACCAGAACAAUUCUCGUAUUUAAUCAAAA
This is a long non-coding RNA of Gossypium arboreum, 1672 nucleotides long. RefSeq lists it as uncharacterized. NCBI's taxonomy places the organism in Eukaryota, Viridiplantae, Streptophyta, Magnoliopsida, Malvales, Malvaceae. The record is from RefSeq and is a predicted model, not a curated record. The transcript is spliced from 2 exons.